UAGAGUUUCGCCCUGACCUCGCUCAAGCCUAAAUUGCAGAACCAACCUCGCUGGAGUUUCGCUGGGCCAGCACCUCGCUCGAGCGACCGUGUUAUCUGGCCAUUGCUAAUUUUAAUUUCUCGCGAAUUUUUAACACUCCAUAUUUCCAAAUUCGACCUAGUAUAUAAACAAAACGUCCGAUUUUUCAUUGAGAACCUUUGGCAAACACAAAACAUCAAUUCCUCUCAAAUUCCAAAGGAUCAAGAACAAACAAAUUCAUUCUUUUCAUCUUUUGUUUCUUUGAGUAAAAAC
This 291-nucleotide long non-coding RNA is filed under the name Olea europaea (common olive). Its description in RNAcentral is "long non-coding RNA (OEUR_LNC003433)". The record is from RNAcentral. Lineage: Eukaryota; Viridiplantae; Streptophyta; Magnoliopsida; Lamiales; Oleaceae.